Molecule: ribosomal RNA, 447 nt
Filed under: uncultured bacterium
Lineage: Bacteria
Description: partial 16S ribosomal RNA
Rfam family: Bacterial small subunit ribosomal RNA
Source: RNAcentral
GAUGAACGCUGGCGACGUGCCUAAUGCAUGCAAGUCGGACGCAGAGCCUUCGGGACCGGUGUGGCGGACGGCUGAGGAGCACGGGGGUAUCUGCCUGGCAGAGGGGGAUAACGGGCCGAAAGGACCGCUAAGCCCGCAUACGUUCCCUCUUUGGAGUGAAGAAAGCAGCAAUGCGCUGCCAGAGGAGCCUGCGGCCCAUCAGAUAGUUGGCGGGGUAAUGGCCCACCAAGUCGAUGACGGUUCCCGGGUCUGAGAGGACGGCCCGGGAGACUUGGGGUGAGCCGCGGCCCAGACUCCUCCGGGAGGCGGCAGCACGGAAUUUUCCGCAAUGGGCGGAAGCCUGACCGAGCACCGUCGCGUGGAGGAUGACGGCUUUCGGGUUGUAAAGUCCUUUUGGGGGGGAUGAUUGUGACGGUACCCCUUGAAUAAGCCCCGGCUAACUCCGUG